GGGGCCGUAGCUCAAUUGGUAGAGCGUCACACUGGCAGUGUGAAGGUCGUCAGUUCGAUUCUGAUCGGCUCCACCA
RNAcentral lists this transfer RNA (76 nucleotides) under Pseudobdellovibrionaceae bacterium. RNAcentral's name for it is "Bdellovibrionaceae bacterium tRNA-Ala". It matches the Rfam family "tRNA". From Rfam's summary of the family: Transfer RNA (tRNA) molecules are approximately 80 nucleotides in length. Their secondary structure includes four short double-helical elements and three loops (D, anti-codon, and T loops). The record is from RNAcentral. Lineage: Bacteria; Pseudomonadati; Bdellovibrionota; Bdellovibrionia; Bdellovibrionales; Pseudobdellovibrionaceae.